CACACAAGGUGUGUGCUAUGAUCGAACAGGAGAAAGGAAAAAGGGGGUGUGAACCCUAAACCUCAAGAAAUCAUCAAAUUGAAAAGGGAAUCAAGGGCUGAUUGUAUGCAUGAACCAAGGAUGAUGAUCCCUUAAGCAUUUCUAACAUCAACGUAGGAGCCAUGUCAACAUGGACACGAGCAUGGAAGGGCAAUGGGUCAACGGUAAAUACGGAAGCUAUGCAUGAACUCGGACGCACGAGGUAGCGUUAGUUAAUUGAGCAUGGUGAUGAUUGAAGUUUGAUAUGGUUUUGGUUGUAUGAAAUCGGUUAUUUUAGCUAAGUAGACCGAACGGGACAAUAUAAAGUUGUAAUGAUAUGACAGAUUGAUGUAAUGCUACGGUAUUGUAACCGGGUAAUGGGUAGAAUUGCACAUAAGUGCGCCAACCGAGAAUGGGGACUUAGGUUAAUGGUCAAAAGACUUAGCUUUUGACCUUAAAUAAAAGAAUGGUUUAACAAAAUACGAACAGGUCGAAUAAAUGUGCAUAAACUUCAUAAUGCUAAUGAAAUGCGUAAAGAUUAAGGACCCGGGUAAGGGCGUUUAGCCCAUAAUGUAAGGACAAGUCUUACGGACAACUAGAAAUAAUUGUGAGCAAUUUGAUUGAGGAAUGUCCGAGAUACGCAAGUUUUAAUAAUAAAAAUAUGAAUGGGUUGAAUAGUCGAAACGAGUAUGUAGAGCCGAAGGCUUUAAGUUAAGAUUUUUCCUUGUUUGGAUGUUAUAUUACAAGCUCAUAUGUUAGAAAAUCGAUUUACCAACGCAUAGGAAAAAGAAUCAUGUUAAUCGGAUUCGUAGAUCAAAAGUUAUGCAAAUUGUAAGUCGAAAAUACCCUUGGAAUUCAUAGCUGGGAAUUUACAGCAGCAAAUUUGAAGUUUCUGUCGAAAUAGAGCUGUCGCGCCCCGCGAGCGCCAGUCAGCUGGCAAAUUUUGGUUUUCUUGUUUGAUUUUGCAUCCGGACUCGAUGUUUUAAUGAUUUUCGAUGUCCCUUAACUUAUAUUAAAGCCGGUUUGAAACACGAGUGAUGUUAUGAGCCUCCGGAUAAUGAAAGUAUGUAUUUUUCUUCGUGUUAGAGAAGAAAGAUUAUAAGUAAUCGAGACUAGAAAUGAGUGGGCAUGCAGUAUGGUAAGUAUAAAACUUAUAUCACGGAAGUUGCGAUUAUGAUAAGAAAUGCGAGAUUAAGUGAAUAAAAGUAGUAAGCGAGGGCUCGCGUCUAUGUGUGUGUAUGUGAAUGUGUGCGUAUGUAUGUAGGUGUAUAUGUUGUAUGUAUGUAGGAAUUAGGAACGUAUACGUUUGUGGAUGCGAGAUGUUAUAAGUAUAUGAAGGAAUGGUUUGGACUGGUUUCAUUAUGUUCUAGCAUUAAUGUUUGCUAAUCGUGUGUUUGAGAUUGGAAUGAAAUGCAGGUACAUGAACACCGGGUUCAUGAAGUAUCGAAGUCGAAUUCGGAACAAGAAAAUACGAAAGGAUAGUUGAAUGAAUUAAAGUUCCUACUGUUAAAUGUUAUUCAAUAUUGGACUAUAUGAGAAUCAUGUCGUAUGAUAUUGUUAAUGACUAAUGGUUAUGAUGUAUGCGAUGUCCACAGGUAUUGCACGGAUUACCGCUACUACUACCGAAGAUAAGCAAGCGUUGAUCGAGUCACGGAGCAAGGGUUGUACGGAAAUAUGUAUUGUCUUGAAGUGUUAAUUUAAUGUGGUUAUUGUAAAUCCCUUUUGUAAAUGUUUAUCAUUUGUAUUUGAGCCUUCAAGUAAGUAAUGUGUCUAAAUAAGAAAGAAAUUUUUGGGCUCGUAUUUUUCCGCUGUGUCAUAUUUAAGUUCUUACAAGUUGGUCUUACAGGGAAUCGUUCAUUAUACGAACGGGUCAUGCCCGAAUUUUGUAAAUAAUAAUACUUAUUUUGGAGUAAGAAAUAUGGGCGUUACAAGUUGGUAUCAGAGCCCUGGUUUGAGGGAAAUCAAGUAGAUGGAGGUAAAUACUUGAACUCAAACCCGUGUGCUCUUGUGUCAAGGAACCCGUACAAUCCAAGACUCGAUCAAGGCCUAAGGUUAAAAGCGAAUGUAAGUAUGUAUUAAAUUAUGUAUUUAAAGGAAACUAAUAGUAUGUUAUGUGAAGGGUAAGCGGAAUUGCUUGGAAGGGAUGAUAUGUGAAUGUGGUUUAGGACCGAUACCAAGGCAUGUAAUAAGACAUAUUGACCUAGGUACGUAAAUUUAGCUUAUGGGUGCAUGUAAUGGUAAAAUCUAUCAAGUGAAUGAAAAUU
Molecule: long non-coding RNA, 2282 nt
Filed under: Helianthus annuus (common sunflower)
Lineage: Eukaryota; Viridiplantae; Streptophyta; Magnoliopsida; Asterales; Asteraceae
Description: hypothetical non coding rna
Source: RNAcentral